RNAcentral lists this ribosomal RNA (1433 nucleotides) under uncultured Parcubacteria group bacterium. RNAcentral describes it as "bacterial SSU rRNA". It matches the Rfam family "Bacterial small subunit ribosomal RNA", at positions 15 to 1385 of the family's 1533-position model. The record is from RNAcentral.
GAUCCUGGCUCAGGAUGAACGCUGGCAGCAUGGAUAAGGCAUGCAAGUCUUCCGUCCAAUUUUUUGGAUUUUAUUUUUUUAAACUAAAAAUGGUUGAAAUAAAAUCCCGGGAUUUGUGCACAGGAGGCCAACGCUACUAACAGGAGGUAAUAAUCUCCCCCAAAGGAUGGACUAGCCCGGACAAAUCCGGGAUAAUACCGGAUGGGCUUGCCUAACUUUUUAAAUGUUAAUAAAAAAUUAUCUGUUUUGAUUAAUAUUUAAAAAAUUAGGCGAGUAAAGAUUUCGGUCGCUUUGGGAGGAGCUCGCUUACUAUCAGCUUGUUGGUAGGGUAAUGGCCUACCAAGGCUAAUGACGGUUAGGGGGUGUGAGAGCAUGACCCCCAGCAUUGGCACUGAAACACUGGCCAAACACCUACGGGUGGCUGCAGUCGAGAAUCUUCCACAAUGGGGGAAAACCCUGAUGGAGCGAUGCUGCGUGCGGGAUGAAGGCCUUCGGGUUUGUAAACCGCUUUUGUAGGGGACGAAAUUUUUGCCGGUUACCUUUUGGAAUAAGAGGUUGUUAACUCUGUGCCAGCAGCAGCGGUAAUACCAGAGACCUUCAGGCGUUAUCCGAUUUUACUGGGCGUAAAGCGUCUGUAGGGGGUUUAUUAAGUUCCAAGUAAAAUUUCAGGCUUCAACUUGAAAUUCGCUUGGAAAACUAAUAAACUGGAGUCUAGCAGAGGUGCAUGGAACUUGUGGUGUAGGAGUGAAAUCCGUUGAUAUCACAAGGAACACCAAAGGCGAAGGCAUUGCACUGGGCUAGCACUGACCCUGAGAGACGAAAGCGUGGGGAGCAAAACGGAUUAGAUACCCGUGUAGUCCACGCCCUAAACGAUGAAUGCUAAAUGUUCGGGGAUUCGACCCCCUGGGUGUUACAGCUAACGCGUUAAGCAUUCCGCCUGGGAAGUACGGCCGCAAGGCUAAAACUCAAAGGAAUAGACGGGGAUCCGCACAAGCGGUGGAGCGUCUGGUUUAAUUCGACAGUAAGCGUGGUACCUCACCAGGGUUUGACAUCCCUUGACAGCCUUGGAAACAAGGUUUCCUUCGGGCAAGGUGACAGGUGCUGCAUGGUCGUCGUCAGUUCGUGCCGUGAGGUGUUCCGUUAAGUCGGGAAACGAACGAAACCCCUAUUGCAUGUUACAAUUUCUCAUGCAAGACUGCCCGGAUAUACUGGGAGGAAGGUGGGGAUGACGUCAGAUCUGCAUGGUCCUUAUACCCUGGGCGACACAGGCGCUACAAUGGCAGAGACAAAGGGUUGCAAAACCGCAAGGUGAAGCUAAUCCCAAAAACUUUGUCUAAGUUCGGAUUGAAGGCUGCAAUUCGCCUUCAUGAAGCUGGAAUCGCUAGUAAUCGUGAAUCAGCCACGUCACGGUGAAUAUGUUCCCGGAUCUUGCA